GACGAACGCUGGCGGCGUGCUUAACACAUGCAAGUCGAGCGGGAUCCAACCGGUGGCAACACCGGGGAAGAUCUAGCGGCGAGCGGGUGAGUAACACGUGAGCAACCUGCCCCGAAGACUGGGAUAACACCGGGAAACCGGUGCUAAUACCGGAUGUCGUCAUUAGGCCGCAUGACCUGAUGAUGAAAGGAUUCAUCGCUUCGGGAGGGGCUCGCGGGCUAUCAGCUGUUGGUGGGGUAACGGCCUACCAAGGCGACGACGGCUAGCUGGUCUGAGAGGACGACCAGCCACACUGGGACUGAGAUACGGCCCAGACUCCUACGGA
Molecule: ribosomal RNA, 325 nt
Filed under: uncultured bacterium
Lineage: Bacteria
Description: bacterial SSU rRNA
Rfam family: Bacterial small subunit ribosomal RNA
Source: RNAcentral